This 513-nucleotide long non-coding RNA is filed under the name Medicago truncatula (barrel medic). RNAcentral's name for it is "lncRNA gene41218". The record is from RNAcentral. Lineage: Eukaryota; Viridiplantae; Streptophyta; Magnoliopsida; Fabales; Fabaceae.
UCUUCGACAUCAUCCGCCGAGAUUCCCACAUUCUGGUUGCCCAAAAAGCCCUGGUGAAGGAAAUUAGGAAGUUUUAUGAUCAGAUAGACAAUAAAUGAGUUGUUACCAAAACGCUAAAAGGAUGCCUGGAAUUAUUUAUCUAUUUGUAAUGGGAAACCGCACUGCUCAGCAAGUUUUCCCCGCUGAAUUCCAAAUCAUAUUCCAGAAUGAAUAGGGAAAAGAAUGAUUCUAGAAAGAUGGUGUCAACUAUUUCAGAUGAAAAUGAACAAAUCCGACCAGGAAUAUAAUUAGACGACUAAAUAAAAAUAUGGAGUUCGUAUGCCAUAAGCAGGGGAAAUGAAAAUAAGCUAAAAAUGAUUCAACUAGCUUAUCAGCUGCUUUUUACCUGGGCAACCUAAUCUGGAGAGAGGAAUUCAUAGACAAAAAAUUUCAGCAGCUAAAAAAAUAAUAGAAGCAACCGACCAAGAAAACCUGUCACUUGGCAGUUUUACUUUUGAACUAAAUUUACCUUGG